UCCAACAGGGGGCGCUGCGCAGCUCCGCCGCAAAUGCUUUAGAUCCUGCAAGGAUCGCAUCAUAUAACGCAUCUGUUCCCGCAGACAGUCGCUUGACUCCUGUAGACACAACUGCAAAGAGACAAGAAGGAAACAGCUUGGACCUGCACCAGCACUGUUAGAGAGGGCAUGGCUCUAUUUAUCUGGAGGAGCUGAAAAACCACUCUAUUCCAGAGUGCAUGUUGAAGGAAUGGCGUCUCAUGCCAAAACCCCUCCCACCAUGGAGCUGAAAUAGGUCACAGGAAGUCAGCCCUGAGGCGGAACAUGGGAGCCAUGAGCAGAAGUGAUGGGCUGAGAGACGUGU
Long non-coding RNA from Megalobrama amblycephala (Wuchang bream), 343 nucleotides. RefSeq lists it as uncharacterized. The transcript is spliced from 3 exons. NCBI's taxonomy places the organism in Eukaryota, Metazoa, Chordata, Actinopteri, Cypriniformes, Xenocyprididae. The record is from RefSeq and is a predicted model, not a curated record.